GACGAACGCUGGCGGCGUGCUUAACACAUGCAAGUCGAACGGAAAGACCCUGCUUUUGUGGGGUGCUCGAGUGGCGAACGGGCGAGUAACACGUGAGUAACCUGCCCUUGACUUUGGGAUAACUUCAGGAAACUGGGGCUAAUACCGGAUAGGAGCUCCUGCUGCAUGGUGGGGGUUGGAAAGUUUCGGCGGUUGGGGAUGGACUCGCGGCUUAUCAGCUUGUUGGUGGGGUAGCGGCUUACCAAGGCUUUGACGGGUAGCCGGCCUGAGAGGGUGACCGGCCACAUUGGGACUGAGAUACGGCCCAGACUCCUACGGGAGGCAGCAGUGGGGAAUAUUGCACAAUGGGCGGAAGCCUGAUGCAGCAACGCCGCGUGCGGGAUGACGGCCUUCGGGUUGUAAACCGCUUUCGCCUGUGACGAAGCGUGAGUGACGGUAAUGGGUAAAGAAGCACCGGCUAACUACGUG
Molecule: ribosomal RNA, 468 nt
Filed under: uncultured bacterium
Lineage: Bacteria
Description: partial 16S ribosomal RNA
Rfam family: Bacterial small subunit ribosomal RNA
Source: RNAcentral